GGCGCUGCUUUGGAUCUGCCUUGGGCUUGGGACACGGAGACCAGCCUUGUCAGUACCGAGUGUGCAGAGCAACAGUGGGACCUGGGCUCCAGCUGCCCCAUCUGUAGAAUGGGGCUAAAGUCAGUUUCCAGCUGCAGGGAACCCAGGGCAGGCAGGAAGAACCACUGCAGCUCCAGCCAGAACCCCGGUUUGCAGAUCACGGACAGGAGUAAAGAUGCAGAGAUCGCACCGCUGCAAGCUUCAGACCCCAGGGCCCCUGGAUCCUGUUUACCCACAGGAAAGCACAAUUCUCCAGGGGCUUUUCAGUUCCACGGGGAUUUUCCCACCAACACUGGACCUCAAGCAGCAGUAGGUUUCAGGUUCAGGCUCCACCAGUAGAGGCUCUGGCAGUGCUUUUCCAGAACUACAUGUUGUGGGUCCCUCCUUUUCUCCACCCUGGACCUCCUUUAUCAUUCUUUCCCCACGGAUCCCUGUGGGAAAA
Molecule: non-coding RNA, 481 nt
Organism: Kogia breviceps (pygmy sperm whale)
Lineage: Eukaryota; Metazoa; Chordata; Mammalia; Artiodactyla; Physeteridae
Source: RefSeq, a predicted model, not a curated record